GACGAACGCUGGCGGCGUGCCUAACACAUGCAAGUCGAACGGAAAGGCCCUGCUUUUGUGGGGUGCUCGAGUGGCGAAAGGGUGAGUAACACGUGAGUAACCUGCCCUUGACUUUGGGAUAACUUCAGGAAACUGGGGCUAAUACCGGAUAGGAGCUCCUGCUGCAUGGGGUGGGUUGGAAAGUUUCGGCGGUUGGGGAUGGACUCGCGGCUUAUCAGCUUGUUGGUGGGGUAGUGGCUUACCAAGGCAUUGGCGGGUAGCCGGCCUGGGAGGGUGACCGGCCACAAGGGGACUGAGGUAGGGCCCAGACGGCAACGGGGGGCAGCAGUGGGAAAUAUUGCACAAUGGGCGGAAGCAUGAUGCAGCAACGCCGCGUGCGGGAAGACGGCCUUCGGGGUGUAAACCGCUUUCGCCUGUGACGAAGCGUGAGUGACGGUAAUGGGUAAAGAAGCACCGGCUAACUACGUG
Molecule: ribosomal RNA, 468 nt
Filed under: uncultured bacterium
Lineage: Bacteria
Description: partial 16S ribosomal RNA
Rfam family: Bacterial small subunit ribosomal RNA
Source: RNAcentral